RNAcentral lists this long non-coding RNA (333 nucleotides) under Pan troglodytes (chimpanzee). RNAcentral describes it as "long non-coding RNA NONPTRT015604". Lineage: Eukaryota; Metazoa; Chordata; Mammalia; Primates; Hominidae. The record is from RNAcentral.
GCUGAGUUGUCUCUACCAAGCUGAAACAUACACAGAAACCUCCUUUAGCAAUUCUCCACGUGGACCAGUCACUGGAAUUGCAGUGCCCUGGGCAAGAGAUUAGUGAGAUUUCACCAGGCAGCUGUUGCAAAUGGCCAUGGUUUCCAUGAAGAGUGCACAGAUGGCUCCGUCCUCACAACUUCCUUAGAAAGAUGGAAAAUGGAACUUGUCUUGAUGACAGUGUCUGCUAGGUUCAUCAACUUCUGAAAUGUGGUGACAGAGCAUAGACUACAACUCAUGGGUAAAAGGACAUUGCUUAGAAGCAAAUAGUAAUAUUUGUCAGGGAAGAUCUUG